UACGAAGGGUGCAAGCGUUACUCGGAAUCACUGGGCGUAAAGCGUGCGUAGGCGGUUUCUUAAGUCUGUCGUGAAAGCCCUGGGCUCAACCUGGGAACGGCGAUGGAUACUGGGAAGCUAGAAUGUGAGAGAGGAUGGUGGAAUUCCCGGUGUAGCGGUGAAAUGCGUAGAGAUCGGGAGGAACACCAGUGGCGAAGGCGGCCUCCUGGCUCAACAUUGACGCUGAGGCACGAAAGCGUGGGGAGCAAACAGG
RNAcentral lists this ribosomal RNA (253 nucleotides) under uncultured bacterium. Its description in RNAcentral is "partial 16S ribosomal RNA". It matches the Rfam family "Bacterial small subunit ribosomal RNA", at positions 524 to 776 of the family's 1533-position model. The record is from RNAcentral.